RNAcentral lists this ribosomal RNA (301 nucleotides) under uncultured bacterium. RNAcentral describes it as "partial 16S ribosomal RNA". It matches the Rfam family "Bacterial small subunit ribosomal RNA", at positions 509 to 809 of the family's 1533-position model. The record is from RNAcentral.
CAGCCGCCGCGGUAAUACGGAGGAUCCAAGCGUUAUCCGGAAUCAUUGGGUUUAAAGGGUCCGUAGGCGGUCUUGUAAGUCAGUGGUGAAAGCCCAUCGCUCAACGGUGGAACGGCCAUUGAUACUGCAGGACUUGAAUUAUUGGGAAGUAACUAGAAUAUGUAGUGUAGCGGUGAAAUGCUUAGAGAUUACAUGGAAUACCAAUUGCGAAGGCAGGUUACUACCAAUUGAUUGACGCUGAUGGACGAAAGCGUGGGUAGCGAACAGGAUUAGAUACCCCCGUAGUCCCUGUCUCUUAUAU